CUUCUGCAGAUUCUUGGCUGUGCGUGCUAGCAGCAGCAAAGUCGAUGUGGAUACCUUUUCGCGUAUGACCUGGUAAAGAGAGAAAGAGGGUAAAAAUUCGUCUGCUAAGCGAGUAAAGCUAAUAGCUUCUGGAGUCUCAAUGAAGUACUUAAAAUUAGCUAAAGUCCUGAAGUUCUUAUUAAUUAUGUUGAUUAUUUGAUUUCAAUUACAAAUCUAUAUAAAUUAAAAUAAAUAUGUAUUAUUAUUAAAUCA
Drosophila mojavensis is the source of this 252-nucleotide long non-coding RNA. RefSeq lists it as uncharacterized. The record is from RefSeq and is a predicted model, not a curated record. Lineage: Eukaryota; Metazoa; Arthropoda; Insecta; Diptera; Drosophilidae. The transcript is spliced from 2 exons.